This 279-nucleotide long non-coding RNA is filed under the name Solanum tuberosum (potato). Its description in RNAcentral is "long non-coding RNA (STUB_LNC009646)". The record is from RNAcentral. Lineage: Eukaryota; Viridiplantae; Streptophyta; Magnoliopsida; Solanales; Solanaceae.
CUAACUUAAAACUAAAAACUGUUUUUAGGGGACUGUUUUGAGGGUCUCGGUUCUAAAUGAUUUCAUGACCUAGCUUAAGGUCUUGCUAGCUUAUAAAGGUGAUUAAUCAACUAGCUAAUCAACCCCUUAAGCCCUUAAACAACACUCCAAACUUCAACGACAAGACCCUUACAACUCACUAGUUCAAACGACUAGUUUCCGGACGUCACUGUCAUUUCUCAUCAUUUCAUCAAGUUCUCAACUCCAAACUCACAUGUGAGGCUCUAGUUUCACUAGUUC